Molecule: long non-coding RNA, 1256 nt
Organism: Triticum dicoccoides
Lineage: Eukaryota; Viridiplantae; Streptophyta; Magnoliopsida; Poales; Poaceae
Exons: 2
Source: RefSeq, a predicted model, not a curated record
CCUCGCCUGCCGUUGCGGCUGCCCCGCCUACGCACGCCUGCAGCGCCCGAGCCAUGCCACUGCCCAACGCUGCUCUAUUGUACUACUACUAUCUACUGUAGCUGCUACUAGUUAGCUUUUGGUUUUCUACGUUGGCUAAGCCCCUAAACAGCGAAAAUUCGUUGGCGUGCACGAGCUCGCCUGCUCACGUUAUCUGUAGGCGUCGGUCCUCGUCGGGAUAUGGAACACACAUCGUAUUCCAGCUCGUAAACGACAGCUCAUUUAAUGGGUGACACUAACGGGAAGAAACAUCGUUUGUAUGGUGCCGGUGACGGACGUUGAGGUGCUAGCGACGCAACGUGUAUCCCUGCCAGACUGAAUUCCGCUCAGGGUCGGCCUACCUACUCCAUUUAACUCCUCAUCUGUCAUCGGCGGCGGCUCAGUCUAUAACAAUCCAUCCCCAAAUCGAAGAAACAAAUCCUAGUUGCACACUGUUCCUCAAUAGAUCCCCAAAUCGGAGCAAGGAAUAGCAGUCGCAGAAAAGUUAGCAAAUCUGAAUCAAGGUGCUGAUCCGGCGGCACUUCCAAUCGUGCCUUGUCUGGACUGUGGCAGGAACGUAGUCGCCUACCUUGAUCGUGGCAGGCCGAACGCCAGCGAGUGAUUCUACAAGUGCCGCAAUCAAAAUCCGUCAGGUGGUGGAUACGAUUUCUACAGGUGGCAGCAAACGUACGCCGACCACCUCACGUCCCUUGGUCCAGCCGCACCCCCAUUAGCGCAAAUCGAGCCAGGAUAGGAGCAAGGCGGCCAAGCUUUGGGAGUUCAGGAUUCAGGUGCCGCACGCACCACGGGGUAGCAGAACGGCAUGCCGGAUGGCACCCAGUUCGUUUCUUCAGUCAGCGCCGCUGCAGGAUACAUGCUCGCCGCGCUUCCAGCUGCUGGGCGCCAGGGAGCCAUUGCCGUUGACGGUGCAUCCAUUAAUCUGGUGGUCUCCGUGGCCAACCUCGUCAUUGGCGUGGCAUUCCUUUUGUUGGUUGUGGCCGACAUGGUCAUGAACAUGCUUGGUUAGGCGUCAGCUGCCAAUAAGGGAGCACGACGUACCAUUGUACUCGCAAAUCAAGUAUUAUGACAUUUGUAUCAUAGGUUAGCAGCCAAGUAUGUAAUGGUGUAGGCGCAGCUAGGGUGUUGCUGAUGGCGUACUUUUGUAAUGAUCGAGUUUAAGCCGUGUGAUGUACUCUCGUUUGUGCAACUAAUAUUAAUGAAAGUCUGUUUUUAACUAA